UUGGCCCCUUUUACCCAAAUAUCACAUCUUAAAUCCCAUGGAUUGUCAAGCAUUGCAGCAAAAUAUCAGGGAGAGCGGAUUUUGACAUUUUGGUGUAGGAUUAGGCUGGAUGUGAAGUCUAUGGAGGUUGGCGCUCCAUGGUCCAUGGGUGUGUGUGAGUGCGCUGGUGCCCGGGCUUGGUUGCUGGUAGCAGGGGUGGGUGCAGGGUCUGAUGUGGAGACUCAGUGUUUCCCCCGGUUCUCAGGAGGCUUUACUUGGUACACCUGCAGCCACUUGCUGCACUCUUGAUUGCAUGAGCAGAAGGCAGCUGUGGGUACCUAACAUGCCAAUCAACGAAUGACUGAGGAGCAGUACUUAACAGCCCAGGACCGGAGCGGACUUCUUUCCCCUCCACUGUUCACACGAUUCUCAUAUCAACAUGGCGCCCCCAAAGCAUAGUGUUUGUUGCCCACUCUGCCGUUCUGAAUUUACCUAUAUAGGCAGGCACCUAAGAAAUAGUCAUGGCAUUAAAAAUUCAAAAGAGCGAGAAAUAUUGAUCAAGUACAGUAGUGGGAGGGUCAAUAUUAGAAAAAUGCCCUGUCCAGUGGAGGGCUGCAGUUAUGCUAGCACAAGGCUGGACAGGCAUAUUGCUCAAGCUCACCCGGAGAUGGAGGGGGAGAGGAAAGCCCAGGUGAUAACCGAUUUGAAGUACCAGGUAACGGUGCACAUGCUGCGAGCGUUGAGCGCCACAAACCCGAGCCCUCCGAUGGUCUCACGCUUACACAUGGACCCAAUAGCAAGAGAGGAAGCAAAUCGGUAUCAUCCAACAUCAGAACCCCUUGAUGACGAACCAUCGCCUUCAUCCUGCAACUCGUGCAAACAGCUUGAGGCAAAGAACCUGCAGCUUAUAUCCGACUUGGGGCAACUAAGAAAGAAAUUGCUGUACCAGCACAGAUGGGCUGAAAGGGCAAAAAAAACAAUCAAACGACUGGAAGAGGACCGCCAAAAGGCAUCCACAGCCCCGGUUCCAAGUGUGGACGUUGAUGCUCUGGUGAGGAGUGAAUCUUUCUCUCCUGAUGAAGAACAGCAGCACAUCAACAGACCUAAGUCAAAGGGGGAAAGCCGGAGCACCCUCUGUUUGGCGAAAGCGUACCCCAAAUUCCCACCAAGCAUCUGUAAGUAAUGUCACUGAUUGCUGUAUUUAUAAAAAAAAUAAAUAAAAAUUCUAAGUGUUGAGAACCAGGCGCACACAAGGGGGCGCUGUCAGAGAGUAAUCCGAGGACAGUGCCUCGGGUCGGGGCUACAGCAGCGGGAUCUCCCCCCUGUCCUUCUGGAAGUCUGUGCGAGCUUUUAAAAAAUAUUUCUAAGUGUUUAUGGAUCCAGAGACGCAGAAGGGGG
Fundulus heteroclitus (mummichog) is the source of this 1377-nucleotide long non-coding RNA. RefSeq lists it as uncharacterized. Lineage: Eukaryota; Metazoa; Chordata; Actinopteri; Cyprinodontiformes; Fundulidae. The record is from RefSeq and is a predicted model, not a curated record. The transcript is spliced from 3 exons.